AUGGGUUACGAGUUUUUGUGAACUUGACCUGAAAGAUGUGGUACGAAAUUAUUCCCAGUUUUGGCCUUGUUUUUGGCUUUCUGUGUGCACCAUCGUUUAUUGGAUGGGGUAUGAACAAGCUUUUCCGUAAUGGCAAAAAUUGUGCAAAAAACUGGGAAGAAGAUCCUCGAGACUUUAUGCUCUAUUUACGAGAUCAAAGGAUAACAGGCAGUGAAUACAAGCCUAAAGGUUUAGAAUGCAUACCAGAUGAGCCCGAUAGCUAAGUCACCAUGGAGGUCAAGAUCUAACUGUUGUGCUGUGCAGAUAUUAUGAAGUGAUGCUGUGUAGAAAGUUAUGUACAUACAACUCAGAAGAGGACACUUCAUCUUGUACUCUCUGAAAAUUUCCCAGACAAUUCAUCACAUUUCUGUGUAAAAUGUCAGUAUAUGUGCGUUUUCCCAUGGCUUAUCAGCUCUGAGAAGAGUAGCAGUGAAUUUGAAAUGUAGAGUGCUGUUGUUUUUGUUGUAUCAAUAAUAAGCUGAAUCUAAUACGAUG
Liolophura sinensis is the source of this 534-nucleotide long non-coding RNA. RefSeq lists it as uncharacterized. The record is from RefSeq and is a predicted model, not a curated record. The transcript has 3 exons. Lineage: Eukaryota; Metazoa; Mollusca; Polyplacophora; Chitonida; Chitonidae.